CAGGAAUUGUCUGAGGAAUCCAGAUGUUCAUCUGCAACCGUGAACACUACGGUUUCCUUCCCAUGCCCCUGAAAUCGCAGCAGACACUGCAAGAAGAAACUGAGAACUUUGUGCACACGCUAAUCGAAGCUAUGAUCGAUCGUCCUCCCAUUGAACCCUCUCAGUAUGUCUCUGUUCCUCCAAAGCACCCUGACAAGAUGGGAUUUGACGAAGUAAGGAACUUACUUU
Molecule: long non-coding RNA, 228 nt
Organism: Strigops habroptila (Kakapo)
Lineage: Eukaryota; Metazoa; Chordata; Aves; Psittaciformes; Psittacidae
Exons: 3
Source: RefSeq, a predicted model, not a curated record